This 303-nucleotide long non-coding RNA is filed under the name Androctonus crassicauda. Lineage: Eukaryota; Metazoa; Arthropoda; Arachnida; Scorpiones; Buthidae. The record is from RNAcentral.
GAUGAGUACAGCAUAUGUCUGUAGGAAACUUUCUAAACUGCUCUUUUCGGUACUUCAAAAUUAAUACUCUGAUGUCAGCACUGUUGAGCAGACCUUUGGGGUUCUUCACUGGUGGGUCUUUAUUAACCAACUUGGUGGCGCUUUCGGCUAUGCAGCCGUCUUCAGCUGGAAUACAAAUGGAAUCCAUUUGUAUUCCAGCUGAGGAUGGCUGUAUGGCCGAGGGCGCUGCUAGGUUGGUUAAUAAAGACUUGUUGGUGAAGAGCCCCAAAGGUCUGCUCAAUGGUGCUGACAUCAGAGUAUUAA